Long non-coding RNA from Megachile rotundata (alfalfa leafcutting bee), 1098 nucleotides. Lineage: Eukaryota; Metazoa; Arthropoda; Insecta; Hymenoptera; Megachilidae. The record is from RefSeq and is a predicted model, not a curated record.
CGGCCAACCUCGACCGGGCUAGACGUUGUCGCGGACGCAAGGAUCAUCGGUUGUGCAAUCGACUGAGGUCGCAAAUCUUCGACGCGUGUCACAAGAAGGUGAAUCCGACGAUGUACUACAAGGCUUGCCUGCAGGACAUGUGCGAGUGUCCCAGCGAAAACUGCUACUGCGAGUCGUUUACGGCGUACGCGCACGAGUGCAAGAGACUGGGCAUCCAGCUGCCCCAUUGGCGGAAAGCGACCAGAUGUCGAACCGGUUGGGACCAGGCUGCGCGCUCGUUGUCGCUCGCGCCGCUCGCGCCGCGUUUGCCUUGACCCCCACCGCCGUCGGAGCUUCGUCGAUAACGUCUCGAAUCGCCGAAUCACCGUCGAAUACCCGAAUACGCGAACAGCCGAUCGAACGCGACCUACCGUUCGGCGAAUUAUCUGCUAGUCACCGUUUCUCCAGAAAACGCACGUCGCGCGCGUCGAUCGACCGAGUUUCGUUCGCGAACCUCCGACUGUCGACGAUUAAGCGUGCCUGUCCGGAGACGACCCCGUUUUUUUCUUCCCUUUUCUCCUAGCGCGAACCUUUUCGAGCAAAGGACGAUUCCGAAGCACCGUGCAGUAUUUCGGCCGAUGAGCAGGCUCGCGGCAUACCGUCUACGUCCCCGGGGUGACCUCGCGCCAACGCGUAUCUCUUUUCACCCCUGAUACACCCCCGCCGACCUACGCGUAGAUUUAAGCCGACCCGACGACCACUUUCUCCGUUCUCCUCUUCCAAUUUUUUCUCUUCUCGCCUCUGACCUAUACUCUCCCGCGUCCCCCGAUCUUCUCUCUCCUUCGUCGCCGUUACUCGACCCUUUUCUCACUUCGAUUUAUCUUAUCUAAUAAUAUAAAAUUGUACAUAGCCCGAGCAUAGACGCGUGCGUAUGCAUACGCGCGUACGCGUACGUAUAAGUAUACGGACAAAACCGACGUCGUUCCUCGAGAACGAUCGCGAAUAUACCGCAAAUAGUCCAAAGCCUUAGCUAAUUCGUAUCCGACCACGUUAGCGUAGAGAUAUUUCGGCUCCCGUCGAACAACGACGAAAUAAUAAAUCAAUUAUAUUCGUAAAAUU